Molecule: non-coding RNA, 842 nt
Organism: Microcebus murinus (gray mouse lemur)
Lineage: Eukaryota; Metazoa; Chordata; Mammalia; Primates; Cheirogaleidae
Source: RefSeq, a predicted model, not a curated record
GCCAAGAUUAUAGGUGUGAGCCACUGCCCUGGCCAGCAUUAGCUAUUAUUAUUCUGAUUUUUGUUGUGGAAAUUUCCAGCAAGGGCCCAUUGCAGUAAGACAGAUGGUGUUCCCUGGCACUCUCCCUUCACAGUUGGAGUUCCGGCGGCUCCUGCGGUGAGGCAAGCCAGCUACUCUGGGAUAUCCAGGAGGUCCGGCCGGCCCCAUGGCUGUGGGGAUAUCUUCAGUAGCCUUUGGCUCCACCUAAGUUCUUUAUUCACCUCCAAAAUUGUCUUCAGUUCAUAGUGGCCACACAUUCCUUUUGCAGAAGGCAAAAUAACCAAGUGCUGAACUUGAGAACUGUGUCUGGAUUGGGCCCUCCUUGUGGUUCAGACAUCACCUUCAAACCACUUUGAUGGACAAUUAGGAGUUAUAUAACCUGAGUCCUACUACGCAUGUGGAUCUCCCAGGAACCUCUCUGAAAGCCCACUGUAGGGGAGGAUGGGAAGUGAAUUGCAAUAUAGAUUUAAGCUAAUGACAUGAUAAGGACAACCCUUAGGUUGUUCUGGAUUUCCUUUCAGACCCCAUUGUACUUGUGCUGCUUGGCCCUCAGGCUAGAGAAUCCUCUGCAUUUUUUUGCAGUGGCCAUGCUAAAUUCUGAUUGGCAGAUUCGUAGGGCCUUCCCUCCUCCUCCAAAUGUAGCAAUUGCUGGGGUGCCUGCCUUUGUCCCCAGGAGGGGCCAUAGGUCCCUUGCUGUCUACCUAACAUAAUUAUAUCUAACAUUGAUGUUAUGAGAAUUGAAACAAUGUGACUUAAAUAUAGCGGAUUGUUAUUGUAUUAUUGUAAACAUUGUUCCUGUCCUU